GGUUUGUAGCAAUACAGAUGCUGGCGACCGGCAAACGGGUGCGGAACACGUACACAACCUUCCUUUAAGUGGGGAAUAGCCCAGGGAAACUUGGAUUAAUACCCCGUAAUAUUAUGAAAUGGCAUCAUUUUAUAAUUAUAGCUACGGCGCUUAAUGAUGGGUGUGCGGCUGAUUAGGUAGUUGGCGGGGUAACGGCCCACCAAGCCUGCGAUCAGUAACUGGUGUGAGAGCACGACCAGUCACACGGGCACUGAGACACGGGCCCGACUCCUACGGGAGGCAGCAGUAAGGAAUAUUGGUCAAUGGACGCAAGUCUGAACCAGCCAUGCCGCGUGGAGGAUGAAGGUCCUCUGGAUUGUAAACUUCUUUUAUCUGGGACGAAAAAGGGUCUUUCUAGAUCAACUGACGGUACCAGAUGAAUAAGCACCGGCUAACUCCGUGCCAGCAGCCGCGGUAAUACGGAGGGUGCAAGCGUUAUCCGGAUUCACUGGGUUUAAAGGGUGCGUAGGUGGGUCUGUAAGUCCGUGGUGAAAUCUCCGAGCUUAACUUGGAAACUGCCAUGGAUACUAUAGAUCUUGAAUACUGUGGAGGUCAGCGGAAUAUGUCAUGUAGCGGUGAAAUGCUUAGAUAUGACAUAGAACACCAAUUGCGAAGGCAGCUGGCUACACAAAUAUUGACACUGAGGCACGAAAGCGUGGGGAUCAAACAGGAUUAGAUACCCUGGUAGUCCACGCCCUAAACGAUGGAUACUCGACAUUUGCGAUACACUGCAAGUGUCUGAGCGAAAGCAUUAAGUAUCCCACCUGGGAAGUACGAUCGCAAGAUUG
This 827-nucleotide ribosomal RNA is filed under the name uncultured Sphingobacteriales cum 'Crenotrichaceae' bacterium. RNAcentral describes it as "bacterial SSU rRNA". It matches the Rfam family "Bacterial small subunit ribosomal RNA", at positions 71 to 896 of the family's 1533-position model. Lineage: Bacteria; Pseudomonadati; Bacteroidota; Sphingobacteriia; Sphingobacteriales. The record is from RNAcentral.